Molecule: long non-coding RNA, 561 nt
Organism: Homo sapiens (human)
Lineage: Eukaryota; Metazoa; Chordata; Mammalia; Primates; Hominidae
Source: Ensembl
UAAAGCUAGCACUGUUUUGAUCCCCAUCACUGAAGUUUGCAACGUUUACCUUAUUUGUUUAAUAUAGUACAUUUUAACAGAACAUGUUAGAAAAGAUAGAUUACUGCCACGGACGAAAACUGGGUGGUUUUCUUUUGUUUGUUAAAAACCUUAUUACCUUGACAGCUUGAGAUUCUGGAGACAUCACCUUUGUAUGUACUUAUUAUUAUUAUUUUAAAUAAUCAACAGUUGUUAAAAUAAACAGUUAAACAGUUAUUAAACAAUCAAAAUGCUUUAAUCAGAACUUGUAUGAGGAGUGGAUUUGAUGCACAAUGUAAGAGGAAGCUUUGGAGCCUGAUGUGAAGGACUGAAGGGGAUUUUUUUGAGUCUUUGAGAGGAUGUCUCUGCCCAUGCCCAGCCUGAAGAAGGGAACUUGUAAGAAUCACCAUUAAUUAAUAUGCAUUCCUACCCUACUUACAUAUGGCUCUGUCAAUACCAGUGGUUGAGUCUGAUUGUUUUAACCAACUGUUUUGAGCUUGUCUUAGAGCUCACCCCAAUUAAAAUUUGUACUCUUCAAAAGCA